Long non-coding RNA from Acanthopagrus latus (yellowfin seabream), 3333 nucleotides. RefSeq lists it as uncharacterized. NCBI's taxonomy places the organism in Eukaryota, Metazoa, Chordata, Actinopteri, Spariformes, Sparidae. The transcript is spliced from 2 exons. The record is from RefSeq and is a predicted model, not a curated record.
GGGGUUGUGAUUUGCCUCAAGGACUUGGACAUUCAGCAGGAAGGGAAGGCAUGCCAUGGAAAAGAACUGACUCUCUCCAUCUCAUCUACAUUUGAGUAUUUUUAACCAGGCCUCAGAUCAGGAUCAGACUGACCUGAGAUUUUCAACAUGGCUGCUGCGUGGUUGAAGGGUGUGCAACCUCGGAUUUGUUUGGACUACAAAGAUACCCUUAAUAAAUGAUUUAAUAAAUGAUUUGCGAAUUUCACCAGCAUUGUCAACCAUAGCCGCCACAGUCACGUGUGCACCAGUUCACUGCAGAGCCCACCCCCAUGACACACCUUAAUAAACAAGCUGCUUUGAGUGGAGAUAUUUGCGAGAAACACAACAAACGUGAAUCGGACACUUGCACAGAGCACUGGUAUGUCAGAGAUACGAGACGACAACAAACUGGAAUCGGAAUCUGUGGAUGUUCUUGUGGGCAGGAUGCUCCAUCUCUCUGCGGCUUGCAGUGGAUUUAUACCCGCAGAUUUAGCCAGCGGUUCAGUCCCGUUCUGUGGAUCUAAACAGACUGGUGUGGACCAAGUUUGUUUCGGUCUGAGGAGGUCCGGUUACACGAGGACAACAAACUGGAACCAGAACGUGCGGAUGUUCCUGUGGAUGUGGGUAGAUAGAUGCUACCCUACACACUCUUGAUGUGGGCUAUCCAUAGAAUCUUCACUCCCUUGGCCCUACACAUUCUGAAUGUCUGGAUACUCUCUGUACUCGUCUGUAAGUUACACUCUUAUGUCUCAAAGUGUUUCUCCAGGCUUAACUUCAUGCUGGUGCGUUUACUACUUGCUUACAUUGUGAUUACUGCUCCGGUUAGCCAACUGUAAUUGAAGAAGAAAUUCUUCAAUCCAUUAAAAAAAAAAAAAGUUAAGGUUAGUUCAGACAUGUAAAACUUACAAACACAAAGAACAAAUGCGUGUACACACCCAUCCAGCUGAGGAGAGGGGACUUCUUCUUGAAUUGCCUUUCCCGAGGUUUCUUCCCGUGUCCUUUCAAGAUUGUUCUGAGGGUCAUGGCAACUUGUUCCCUGCUUCUUAGAGAGCUUGGGCUCGGUAGCUGUUCCUGAUCUGGGUCUGCAACGCCCACUGACACCAUCACCAACAAUACAAAUGAAAUGAGUUCAAAUAAAAGAAACCGGCUUAAAAAAACAAACAAACAAAAAAAAACAAUAGUCAGCUGUACUCGAAGCCCUGUACUGUACAUGAAUGCAGCUCUUGCCCCACAGGUGCAGUAGGCAGUGCGUCAGUCUCAUAAUCUGAAGGCCGUGAGUUUGAACCUCACACGGGGCAGUGGUUCAUGAAGCUCCUUUGGUGUGCAGGAGGCACUCCUGAUGACUUUCUAUGACUCUGUAGUGGCUUUGGUCAUUUUUCUAUGGAAGGAAGAGACUUUAGAAGUCCAGCUCUAUCACAGCACUGGGCAGCUCCAUCAGCGAUAGACUGAUAAAACCCAAGUGAGUGAAGGAGAGGUAUCACAGGUCCUUCUGUCCAGCUGCUGUCAGACUCCACAACCAGCACUGCUCCCACUAAACCUCACUGUGCAAUACAAACUCUUUUACAUAACCCAUUUCUCUUUUUGGUUUUGCACUAACUGGGCAAUUUUCAUACCCAUGUUUAUUACACUGCCACACUGUUUAUAUUACACUGUUUAUAUUUGUAGAUAGUAUGUAUAUAUGAGUAUUACCAUUUCUUGAUUUUUAUUUAUUUUUCACUAUUAUCAUUGUUUUUUGUAAUAUGACUGUCCUUUGGCUCCUUUGACGGACAUAUUUCUCAGUUUGCAGGACUGAUAAAGGAAUUCUCAUUCUGACACUAGAGUGUUAGAAGGUUAUGUGCGUUGUCGUAAAUUGACUUCACUUUUCUUGGUUGGUCCAAAACAUUUCGAAGAUCAAAAAAGUCACCAGGAGCUUCAUGGCUGAGUGCAGCAGAAAUGUAUUUGCCGGCAGACAAAGAAUGAGAUCAGACACAGACAAAAUCUGUGAAAAAACUGACCCGAGGUUUAAAGCACUGAGCAUCCUCUUUUAAAACCAAAAAACUGGGAAUGUCUUCUCAACCAAUCCCUGCUCUUCUUGAUUUCUGCUGACACUGCUAUUUUUCCUCUGGAAAAUCCCUGUUCUUCCUUCCGCACCUGCGCGUAGCUUCGGUGUACGUGACUCCAGUAUGUCUGACUCCAUGCAUAACUGCAUGUACACCAGUAGCUGUUUGCCUCGCUUUGUUUUGUUGAAACAGGUGCUUUUCCUCUACAUAUAUAAUUGGCUCUUACAAACUCUGGCCUUCAGGCUUUUUGAUACCCCAAUUCCCUUCUUGAUAUACCCCAAUAUAUCUGAUCACGCUUGGCACUGCAUUUUUAAAGAACAAUAAAAGUGCUGUGUAUUUGGUUCACACUUCACCUCAUCACACUGCAGUGAGUAGAUGCAUUUUUCAAUCAGAUGGUGCUGGGUAGUAAGUCUCAGCAUAUCCUUCAUACUUGAUUACCCUUCAUUUCUUAUCUUUAUCAUUAUAGCAGUUAUUAUCAGUUAUCAAUAGUCACUACUGUGGUUAUUUUAUAUUGAACAAGCAUGUGUGUGGCUUACUGCGUGUGUUUAUAUGAAGAACAUGGUAAUCCCUUUAAUGAUGCAUGUGUUUGUGAGAAUGACUGUUUCACUCCAUUUAAAAGUGAAAGCAUUCAGACUGCAACCCUUGAUAUCAUAACUCCUGACUACACAGUGUCCAUUACCCAGAUGUUGCUCUCUAGAAUGGAACCGAACUCACUGCGGAAGUCAGGUAAAUGAUCAUAGCUGUCAGACAGUUCUAAGAGCAUCCCACAUGUACGUCCAAUUGGCCUUCUCGUGAAAUUGAUCUGAACUGUAAAGUCAACCUUAAUAACACCAGAAACCAACGAAUCAGAGCCAGUGCAGAACCUCAAAAAUCUCCCAAGGUUUUCUUCAUUAAGUUCCCCUGACGUAUCUUUUCAGGUGCUCUGCCUGCUUGGAUGUCACCCUUGAAGGAAAGUUUAAUAUUCCUGCUACUUUCUUUGGGGUGGGGUGUGAGGUCACUAUACAUUUUGGUCAGUUCCCCAGAGCUGAGAUGAAUCUGUGUCUGUGUGAUCUCUCUGCAGCAGUCGAUGACAAGCUUUGGUUUCUGCACCAGUUCCUUGUGAGAUAUUUCAUCUGAGAUUUCUGGAAGAGUAGCAGCAGUGACCCUCUUCCGACAUUCAUAUCUGUCAAGCACUUCAAGAAGGUCAUCAUCAUCAGCAGAGCUAAAAUCAUCCAAUGCAUGCCUGAGGACGUCUUGUUCUUGUGAGCUCACAAACUAAAAAAAGCUUGCCUUCAGA